This 817-nucleotide ribosomal RNA is filed under the name uncultured bacterium. RNAcentral describes it as "bacterial SSU rRNA". It matches the Rfam family "Bacterial small subunit ribosomal RNA", at positions 638 to 1454 of the family's 1533-position model. The record is from RNAcentral.
UGACUUGAGUNCAGAAGGGGAGAGUGGAAUUCCAUGUGUAGCGGUGAAAUGCGUAGAUAUAUGGAGGANCACCAGUGGCGAAAGCGGCUCUCUGNUCUGUCACUGACGCUGAGGCUCGAAAGCGUGGGUAGCGAACAGGAUUAGAUACCCUGGUAGUNCACGCCGUAAACGAUGAGUGCUAGGUGUUAGGCCCUUUCCGGGGCUUAGUGCCGGAGCUAACGCAAUAAGCACUCCGCCUGGGGAGUACGACCGCAAGGUUGAAACUCAAAGGAAUUGACGGGGGCCCGCACAAGCGGUGGAGCAUGUGGUUUAAUUCGAAGCAACGCGAAGAACCUUACCAGGUCUUGACAUCCCGAUGCUAUUCUUAGAGAUAGGAAGUUACUUCGGUACAUCGGAGACAGGUGGUGCAUGGUUGUCGUCAGCUCGUGUCGUGAGAUGUUGGGUUAAGUCCCGCAACGAGCGCAACCCUUAUUGUUAGUUGCCAUCAUUAAGUUGGGCACUCUAGCGAGACUGCCGGUAAUAAACCGGAGGAAGGUGGGGAUGACGUCAAAUCAUCAUGCCCCUUAUGACCUGGGCUACACACGUGCUACAAUGGUCGGUACAACGAGUUGCGAGCCGGUGACGGCAAGCUAAUCUCUGAAAGCCGAUCUCAGUUCGGAUUGGAGGCUGCAACUCGCCUCCAUGAAGUCGGAAUCGCUAGUAAUCGCGGAUCAGCACGCCGCGGUGAAUACGUUCCCGGGCCUUGUACACACCGCCCGUCACACCACGAGAGUUUGUAACACCCGAAGUCGGUGAGGUAACCUCUUAGGGGCCAGCC